This 527-nucleotide ribosomal RNA is filed under the name uncultured Pseudomonadota bacterium. Its description in RNAcentral is "bacterial SSU rRNA". It matches the Rfam family "Bacterial small subunit ribosomal RNA", at positions 376 to 896 of the family's 1533-position model. The record is from RNAcentral. Lineage: Bacteria; Pseudomonadati; Pseudomonadota.
CGGGAACCUGCGCAGCAACGCCGCGUGGGUGAAGAGGCCUUCGGGUCGUAAAGCCCUUUCGGACGGGACGAACGCUCCGCGGGGACAAGCCGCGGAGUCUGACGGUACCGUAGGAAGAAGCACCGGCUAACUCCGUGCCAGCAGCCGCGGUAAUACGGAGGGUGCGAGCGUUGUUCGGAAUUACUGGGCGUAAAGCGCGUGUAGGCGGCUUUGCAAGCCAGUCGUGAAAGCCCUCGGCUUAACCGGGGAAGUGCGUCUGGAACUGCUUGACUUGAGUACGGGAGAGGGAGGCGGAAUUCCCAGUGUAGAGGUGAAAUUCGUAGAUAUUGGGAGGAACACCGGUGGCGAAAGCGGCCUCCUGGACCGAUACUGACGCUGAGACGCGAAAGCGUGGGGAGCAAACAGGAUUAGAUACCCUGGUAGUCCACGCGGUAAACGAUGGGCACUAGGUGUGGGGGGUAUCCACUCCUCCCGUGCCGAAGCUAACGCAUUAAGUGCCCCGCCUAGGGAGUACGGCCGCAAGGCUA